GGCCAUAGCUCAGUGGCAGAACAGCUGCUUUGCAUGCAGAAGGCCCUGGAUUCAAUCCUCAGCAUUGCCA
Molecule: non-coding RNA, 70 nt
Organism: Podarcis lilfordi (Lilford's wall lizard)
Lineage: Eukaryota; Metazoa; Chordata; Lepidosauria; Squamata; Lacertidae
Source: the annotation of a GenBank genome assembly